RNAcentral lists this ribosomal RNA (1523 nucleotides) under Corynebacterium sp. Its description in RNAcentral is "partial 16S ribosomal RNA". It matches the Rfam family "Bacterial small subunit ribosomal RNA". Lineage: Bacteria; Bacillati; Actinomycetota; Actinomycetes; Mycobacteriales; Corynebacteriaceae. The record is from RNAcentral. RNAcentral also lists the same sequence under 4 other names.
UUGAUGGAGGGUUUGAUCCUGGCUCAGGACGAACGCUGGCGGCGUGCUUAACACAUGCAAGUCGAACGGUAAGGCUCCAGCUUGCUGGGGUACACGAGUGGCGAACGGGUGAGUAACACGUGGGUGACCUGCCCUGCACUUCGGGAUAAGCCUGGGAAACUGGGUCUAAUACCGGAUAGGACCGCACCGUGAGGGUGUGGUGGAAAGUUUUUUCGGUGUGGGAUGGGCCCGCGGCCUAUCAGCUUGUUGGUGGGGUAAUGGCCUACCAAGGCGGCGACGGGUAGCCGGCCUGAGAGGGUGGACGGCCACAUUGGGACUGAGACACGGCCCAGACUCCUACGGGAGGCAGCAGUGGGGAAUAUUGCACAAUGGGCGGAAGCCUGAUGCAGCGACGCCGCGUGGGGGAUGACGGCCUUCGGGUUGUAAACUCCUUUCACCAUCGACGAAGGGUUUCUGACGGUAGAUGGAGAAGAAGCACCGGCUAACUACGUGCCAGCAGCCGCGGUAAUACGUAGGGUGCGAGCGUUGUCCGGAAUUACUGGGCGUAAAGAGCUCGUAGGUGGUUUGUCGCGUCGUCUGUGAAAUUCCGGGGCUUAACUCCGGGCGUGCAGGCGAUACGGGCAUAACUUGAGUACUGUAGGGGAGACUGGAAUUCCUGGUGUAGCGGUGAAAUGCGCAGAUAUCAGGAGGAACACCGGUGGCGAAGGCGGGUCUCUGGGCAGUAACUGACGCUGAGGAGCGAAAGCAUGGGGAGCGAACAGGAUUAGAUACCCUGGUAGUCCAUGCCGUAAACGGUGGGCGCUAGGUGUGGGUUUCCUUCCACGGGAUCCGUGCCGUAGCUAACGCAUUAAGCGCCCCGCCUGGGGAGUACGGCCGCAAGGCUAAAACUCAAAGGAAUUGACGGGGGCCCGCACAAGCGGCGGAGCAUGUGGAUUAAUUCGAUGCAACGCGAAGAACCUUACCUGGGCUUGACAUAUACAGGAUCGCGCCAGAGAUGGUGUUUCCCUUGUGGCUUGUAUACAGGUGGUGCAUGGUUGUCGUCAGCUCGUGUCGUGAGAUGUUGGGUUAAGUCCCGCAACGAGCGCAACCCUUGUCUUAUGUUGCCAGCACGUUGUGGUGGGGACUCGUAAGAAACUGCCGGGGUUAACUCGGAGGAAGGUGGGGAUGACGUCAAAUCAUCAUGCCCCUUAUGUCCAGGGCUUCACACAUGCUACAAUGGUCGGUACAGUGGGUUGCCAGUCCGUGAGGGCGAGCUAAUCCCGCAAAGCCGGUCUCAGUUCGGAUCGGGGUCUGCAACUCGACCCCGUGAAGUCGGAGUCGCUAGUAAUCGCAGAUCAGCAACGCUGCGGUGAAUACGUUCCCGGGCCUUGUACACACCGCCCGUCACGUCAUGAAAGUCGGUAACACCCGAAGCCAGUGGCCUAACACAUUUUGUGGGGGAGCUGUCGAAGGUGGGAUUGGCGAUUGGGACGAAGUCGUAACAAGGUAGCCGUACCGGAAGGUGCGGCUGGAUCACCUCCUUU